UGGCGACGGGUGAGUAACGCGUGGAAAACCUGCCGUAUACUGGGGGAUAACACUUAGAAAUAGGUGCUAAUACCGCAUAAGCGCACAGCUUCGCAUGAAGCAGUGUGAAAAACUCCGGUGGUAUACGAUGGUUCCGCGUCUGAUUAGCUAGUUGGUGAGGUAAAAGCCCACCAAGGCAACGAUCAGUAGCCGGCCUGAGAGGGUGAACGGCCACGUUGGGACUGAGACACGGCCCAGACUCCUACGGGAGGCAGCAG
Molecule: ribosomal RNA, 257 nt
Filed under: uncultured bacterium
Lineage: Bacteria
Description: partial 16S ribosomal RNA
Rfam family: Bacterial small subunit ribosomal RNA
Source: RNAcentral